Molecule: non-coding RNA, 24 nt
Filed under: Arabidopsis thaliana (thale cress)
Lineage: Eukaryota; Viridiplantae; Streptophyta; Magnoliopsida; Brassicales; Brassicaceae
Source: RNAcentral
AUUAACUCAUUCCUCAGUACCUCC